GAAGUUCCCAGGCUGGGGACUGAAUCCCUGAGCCACAGCUGUGACCUACAUAUGCUUCUGUGGCAACACUGGAUCCUUUAACCCACUGCCCAUGGCUGGGGAUCAAAUCUACACCUCCUCAGUGACUUGAAUUGUUGCAAAUGGGUCCUUAAGCCACUGUAUCAUAGUGGAAACUCCUAUACUUGUUUCUUAAUAGACAAGAAUUUCAUCUAGUAUGAAAAUGCAAUCAAGGUAUAGCUUUUAAUUUUUAUAUUUUGGAUAUGACUUAUGUCAUAUUCUCUAAGUAGAGGAGCCCAUCUCUAGUGGAUUAUGUCCCAAUACGGAUAUAUUCUGAAAAAAAGUGAUAUUUUCUCAGACAGUUAUUCAAUCUCUUCAGAUGAAAUGAAGAUAAAUUUCAUCUCACCAUAAAUUACUCUCAAGAGUGAGAGAUAUAUAAAUGAGGUUCGUAUAUAGUAACUCAAUGGAUUGAUAUCAUGUGGCUAUUACAAAGACCUAAUUUUUACCCAUGUAGUAUAAUUGUCACUGCAUCAUUUAGUAUGAAGCAUUAUACGUGAAAAUGUCCCACUGGUUAGUCUUACAUUCUAAAACUGUAUUUCUAUCUCAGAAUCCAAUAUAAUGAAAUGUUUGUUUGGCACAAUUCACUCGCUAUCAUCUUGGUUUCCCUAUUUUAAAGCAAUCUAAAUGAGUUGCAGUAAAUUAGACUAAUAAAGUUAACCACUCAAGCAGUGAACACACAGUACUGUUCAUCUCUGUUCAAACAAUAGUAUGUUCAGUUAUCACAUGUCUUUAUUUUUGUAGCUAUUGAAGGGAUUUCUAAAUACAUGUAUCAUAUUUAGAACUUUCUUUUUGGAUAUUGGAGUUAUAUAAAUAUAAUGGAUCAGCAUUAUUAUUAUAGGUUAGACUAAGGAAAUUUUCUUACACUAAACCAUGCAACAAAUUAUCAUGGUACCCAUUUGGCACUGUUAAUGCUUAAUUAGAUUUCCAGUGAAGAGAAGAUGACUAAUCGAAUUUUAUAUUUAAUACUGUAAUGUGGGAAUGAGGUGAAAAUGUUCAGCAUGAAAAGAGCCAUUUCCAUAUGUUUUAAAAUUCGGUUUUCUCCUAAGUUGAAUUGAUCGUGAUACUUCAGGAUAAGACAUAUAUUUCCCAUUGUGUUUCCUUUGUUAUUUUCUCAAUUCCAUCAUUUUAAAUAAUUGGUAUCUGCUAAAUGCUUUGGAUCGCACAUCAAAUUUAUUCUUCAGCGAUUCAACGAGCUUAUUUUUUUGAACAGAAAUGGAAGCAAUUUAAAUAGAAAAUUAAACAACCAACACAUGAGGCUCUUUUUCUUCCCACCCUUUAUAUUGACCAUUUUCAGCAGUGUUGCUUAUAUGCCAUAGAAAAUAAUACCUUACAUAUGUUGAGAUGACUUUUCUAGUAAUGUCAAAUAUUUGGAACAUGAAAGCAAUAAACUUAUGCCAUUCAAUCAUGUGCAAAAAAAUUAUACAAUUUUCUUAAAGAAAGCACUUCAAGCUGCCAUUUAGAGUCAUGAAUGUUAAUUUUAGAUAUCAUUUAGAUGACUUUUUUUAGUUGCUAUUUGUGUUUGUAGUACCUUAGAAGGAAAUUAGAAGUCUUUCUGUUUGUGUGUGUGUGUAUGUGCAUGUGUAUGCCUGUGUAGUUAUGAGUACCAAAAGUUAGAAAAUGUAUUAAACUAUCAUUCAGGGCAGAAUAAAUUAUAAGUAGUUACAGCUCAUUCAAAGGCCCUAAGGUGGGAACAUGACUCAUGUUUUCAAAAAGAGUAGUAGCAAGUGAGAAUAAGGGCAGUAAUGAGGAGCCAGGUUAUGGAAGGCUUUGUAAGCUACUACAAAAAUCAAUAGGAUCUAUUGGAGUGUUUUGAGCUGAGAAGUGACAUGAUUUGACUUAACCUUUAAAAGGAUUAUUCUGGUUUCUGUGACAACAGGCUGUAGUGGGCAUGAGGAGAUGUUGAGAAACCAGAUAGCAGACACUAAAAUAAUUAAAACAAAUGAUACAUAAUAUUUGUGUGGGACAGAGUGGGGUGGGUAAGGGCGAGAUAAAGACAAUUUUGAAGUUAGAGUCAACAGAUGUUGAUAAUAAAGGUCCUGAGUCAUUGCAUGAAAGUGGAAUGGUAUUCUGUACAUGUUAUUUAAAUGGCAAGAAUAUGUAUAGUCUAUUUUGGGAAGACUGCCACUAAAAUGCUAAAAAUCAAGGUCACAUUAAAUGUUUAAUUUUAAAGAGUAAGUCUUUAUUCUGGGAAAAGAUUAGCACAUUAUCUGACAAUCAUGAAAAAAAAGAGGUUUUCCAUAUAAUAAAACAACAUCCCUAACAAUGAGCUCCUGGAACACAGCCAUUGUGGUGGUUAAUUUUACGUCAACCGGAAUGGAUCCCAGGGUGUCCAGAUAUUUGGCUAAACAUUAUUUCUGAGUAGGCUGGUGAAGGUGCGUGUGGAUGAAAUUAGUAUUUGAAUGAGUGGACUCAGUAAGGCAGUUAACCCUCUGCAAUGUGAGCCUCAAUAGAACUAAAAGCAGAGAAAGGAAAAAUUUGGCCCUUUUUGCCCAAGUUAUUGAACUGGGACAUUGAUCUCCUGUCCUCGUUUGUUCCCAGGUAUCAGGCCUUUGAAUUCAGUCUGAACUACACCAUUGACUUUUCUGGGUAUCCAGCUUAUAAAUGGCAAUCAUGGGACUUCUCUUCCUCCAGAAUUGCGUGAGCCAGUUUCUGACAAUACAUUUCUGUGGGGGCUGGGGGGGGGCGUGUAGGGGUAGGGGUGUGUGUGUGUGUGUGUGUGUGUGUGUGUGUGUGUCCAACUUCCCUUGAAUUAAAGUCGUUUUUAAUUUAACAACUGAUUCAGUAAACCCUAAUAGUAUGAUUCCACAGAAAGUGCGCUGAUGUGGAAUGAUCACAAGAAGAAUGGCUGGAGAAAAUUCUUAAAAACCACCCUGAAGCAGCAGUACAAAUUAUGGACAGAGAGAUUAUUGGCUACAGGAUGAAAAAGGAAAUGUAGAGUCAGGCUGAAGAAAAGGAGACAGAGCGGGAGGCUAAUGCAAUAAAUUAUGUGAGGAAUAAUAAAGACAUAAAUUAAGUAGGGUCCCUGGUAUUGAUGGUGACUACAUUUUAUUCAACAAUAGGAUCUAAUUAAUUUUUCAAAGUAUUGCUGAAGCAUAUUUGCUAUUAUAAAAAAUGAAUUAGGAGUUCCCACUGUGGCACAGCGGAAAUGAAUCCAACUAGGAACCAUGAGGUUGCUGGUUUGAUCCCUGGCCUCACUCAGUGUGUUAAGGAAUUGGUGUUGUUGCGAGCUGUGGUAUAGGUCACAAACGCAGAUUGGACCCUGCAUUGCUGUGGCUGUGGUGUAGGCCAGCAGCUGUCGCUCUGAUUUGACCUCUAGCCUGGGAACCUCUAUAUGCUGUGGGUGCGGUCCUAAAAAGCUAAAUAAAUAAAUAAAUAUUAAUUUUAAUGAUAUAUUUUUUAUUAUUAAUAUUUGAAAGUUGUAAAAUUCUUAAUGAAUAUAGAAGCAUAGCCUAUCAGGUACUCCAAAGGUAAAACACCAAGAAACUAGUCAUAAAUGAACACUCUGGGCUCAACAUCAUGUUGGGUCAUGUGGAAAUAUAUAUGUUAAUAUGAAAUAUUGUUUUCUUAUAGAUAAUUCAGAAAGAUAUACAUACAAUUGGCUAAAACAAAAUUAUAUCAACACAAUAAAGAUAUAAUAAAGAUUCAAUCUGACGGGUAGAUUCUGGGAAAUCAUUUAUAGGGCUUUACAGAUGACCUUUAUGCUGAAACUUAACCAAUGCAUGUCUUCAUCCAAAUUUGCCUUUCUCAUUACCAGUUCAUACCAGCAUUAUACCAAACUCCAUUAUGCCAGACUCCAAUAAUCUAAGAUAAAUUCAUUAGUUUCUUUUUAAAGGGCUUCCUUCUCCAUUUAUUAUUUCUGCUAAUGAAAUUCUUUACUUGCUUUUUUCACAGAUUAGAAAUACUAAAAUUACUUUUACUUAAAGCAUUUCUUUCCCACUUCCCAUACCCAAUCACCUGCUAAAUUCCAUUAAUUAUCUUACUACAUUUUUCAAAAUUCUCUGACAUUCUCUUCUAAAGCUUCUUCUUGUUAAUGUCUUGGUUAAGGUAAUCAUCAUCUGCUUUACCUGUUAGAAUAUCUACCCAACUAAUCUCCAAGUGACUGGAUUCUAAUCUUUUAAAUCUGUUUUUCACACUGUCAUGUGAGUUAUCUUCAUAAGAACAGGUAAAAUAGUAUCAUUUUCCUUUUCAAAAACCUGUGUGGCUUAUUCUCUACAAAAUACAGUCAAAGUAUUUAGCAUAGGAUUCAAAGAUCCAAAUUACUUGAAUUUAAAUUACCUUUCCAUUUCAUCACUUGAAACCAAAUUAUGUUUCCAUUUUUAUUACUCUAUCGCUUGCAUCAUUUCUUUCUGGAAAGCAUGAGUUAAUCAUACCAGUCUACACACUACCCUUCAAAUAUAUCCAAAAUUAUUUUUCCCCUGGAGUGUCCCCUUUUCAUAUAAUUAUCUUGGACAGAUAUGACCUCAUUUAUUAAAUUUGUCUUUGAAUGACUUUAGUUUAAAAAGAAAAAGGAGUUCCUGUGGUAGCUUCAUUGGGUUAAGAACCCAAUCCAACUAGUGUUCAUGAGGAUGUGGAUUUGAUCUCUGGCCUGGCUCAGUGGUUUGAGGAUCC
RNAcentral lists this long non-coding RNA (4665 nucleotides) under Sus scrofa (pig). RNAcentral's name for it is "lncRNA (ENSSSCG00000055919.1)". Lineage: Eukaryota; Metazoa; Chordata; Mammalia; Artiodactyla; Suidae. The record is from RNAcentral.